GUGCUUGCUUCACCAGCACACGUACUAAAAUUAGGAUCACAUAGAGGUUGAGCAUGGUCCCUGAUCAGGGAUGACAUGCAAAUUCGUGAAUCAUCCUACAAUAAA
Small nuclear RNA from Cavia aperea (Brazilian guinea pig), 105 nucleotides. NCBI's taxonomy places the organism in Eukaryota, Metazoa, Chordata, Mammalia, Rodentia, Caviidae. The record is from Ensembl.